CGACAUUCUGGGAGGGCCUUUUCUGCAAAGGCAGUCAUGGCUUUUAGCCCAAGGCCCCCUUUCUUCCCUUUUCUUGUGACAUUUUGGGAAGAUGAGUCAUUCGGCAGGGAUGGAUCGUCUCCCCCACUUCUAAGCACGCGUGCUGGUCAGCGGGAGGUUUAUUCAGGGAGUCCUUUGAGAAUCUGUCCUUGUCCAGAGUGACUGGUUGGUGUGUCUUAUCCUCAAUCUGCAGGCACCCGAGGUGGGAGUCGGGCCAACGGCCUCUUGUGUUUUCAUGAGCUGAUAUUUUUAAAAAUCGAAGGAUGCUGCUUUUCUUUCUCGACUAUGGAACCAGCACCGGAAUAUCCCAAUAACGAGGAUCACAUUUGGGAACAUGUGACACACAUGGAUGCUGGCCCAGAUGAGAAUGCACAGGAGGCUGGAAUUAGCAACCUCAAGGCAGGGCCCCGGUCACAGAUCCAGCUCAAAACCCAAACCGGGUUUUCCCAGAUGCAGAGAAUAACAGGAUUGAAACAGACAACCCCUCUUACCGGAUCUCCGUUUCCUAUCUUUGACUCAAACCCAGCCUGACUCCUGGAAUAACAUUCAAGUGUCCUCCCGUUGGUUCAGAAUAGAAGUGCCAUGUCCCCUGAAGAUAAAAUUGGAAGCUUGAGAAACUGAGAGGAAAAGAAAAACGGACGGCCAGGUUCCCAUCACCCACGUGGGCUGGACCUCAGGUGUCUCUUGGGAUCUUGCUACUCAAAGUGUGGCCUGAGGACUGGCAGGAUCCCAGGGAGCUAGUGAGAGAUGCAGACUCUCAGUGCCCUCUGCCAGACCUCCCCAGUUAGAAUCUGCCCAUUAACCUAUUAACUGCCCCCCCCUACUCCCCACCAUGACUCCCAUUCACAGCAGCAUUGAGCCCCAGUCACUGCCUGGGGGCUCAGCCAGCGUCAGCCUGGCCUGGUUCAGGUAACAGGACUGGCAUUUAUCUUUGAUUUCCCCAAAGCAGGCAGAGCUGCUUUCAUGGGUGGGCAAGUUGUGCCAUCAUCUCCAGGGCCCUGUGCUCGGAAAGGCCCCAUAUAUUUCGUGCGCUGCAUUGCUGUCUGGAAAUUCGUAAUAUUCUGAACCAGGAGCCCAAUGUUUUCAUUGUCCUCUGAGUUACACAAAUGAGGUACUCCUACUAACCCCAUACCCUGGGAUCCUCUAGGACUGGGGCCUAGAAUCGGCCCAGCUUUGGCCACCUUCCUUCCCCAAGCCAGAUCCCCAAGUGCCGUUUCUGCCCCACACAGACACAUCCUGAGGCCGGCUGCAGCCUGGCGACGUGGGGAAUUCAGGGCACCCCACCUGACUGGAGGGAUUUGUCCUUCUGGAGGCAAGGAUUGCUAGAACUGCCACCUGAAUCCCACACUUGAGUUGUCUCUUACUUAGCUUUUAAAUGUCCUGGGUGCUAUGCACUAUCUUUAACUUGCCUCAUCUCAUUAAAUUCUUCCAAUAGCCAGGGGGCUAUGUAUUAUUUUUCCAGUUUGACAGAGAAGAAAACUCAAAAACAUUAAGUAAUGGGCCAAAAAUCAAAUAACAGAUCAAAAGCAAAACCAGGAUAUAAACCAACCUUUGUCUGGAUACACAGCCUCCAGACUACCCUCCCUCGCUGCACCUGGUGGUCCUCUUCCGUGUCUGAAUGAGGUUCCCUCCCUCCAGCCCACCCAGCCAGGUGCUCACUGCACGCCCAAGGCUUGCCUGUCCUCCCUCCACCAUUGCUCUAGCGACCCCCACCCUCACAGUGCUUCCAAAGCAGAUGCUGCAGGGCUAACACGGGAAGGGCCUGUGUAUUCAUUUCUCAAGGCUGCUGUAACAAAUUAGCCCCCAACUUGGUGUCUUAAGAAAAGAGAAAUAUAUUCUCUCAGAGUUUUGAAGUUCAGAAGUCCAAUAUCAUGGCCCUGGAAUGAAGGUGUUGGCAGAGCCACAGUCUCCCUCAGAGGCCUGGGGACAGUCCUCUUCCAGAUUCUGGUGGCUGCAGUCUUCCUUGGCCUGUGGCCACAUCACUCCAGUCCCAAGGGCCAGCAGUGUCAAGUCUCUGCUCUGAUUUCAGAUCAUCUUCUCGGUGCAUGUCAAGCCUCCCUCUGCUUCCCUUUCCUGUAGGUAUAUGUGUGCUUGCACUCGGGGCCCACCGGUAAUGCUGGACGACGACCCCAACCUGAGAUCCUUAACUUCAUUCCAUCUGCAAUGGUCCCUUUGGCCAUAGAAAGUAACAUUCACAGUUUUGGGGGAUUGGGAUGUAAAUAUCUUUGGGGAGGUCAUUUUUUACCCAGCCAAAGUUGACUGAUAGACUAAUAGUUGGAGGAGUUCAACAGAAAAAGAAAGGCAAAAAAAAAAAAAAAAAGGCCUUCUGGCCUUGUCUUCAGGAGGCUCCUCUUCUGGCCCCGCCCUCAGUAGGCUCCUCUCUUGAGGAACCCCCAAGGCAACCAGUUCCUCUGUACUUAAGCCACCACUCAGAGAAAGGGGAGGUUUGCGGAGAAGGCAGCAGGAAACUUAGUUAAGGCCCUAGAGCUAAAGAGCCCAAGGAUGGGCCUUCUAAGGACAGCAGAACAGAAAGGUAAACUGCUCUGGGGUCUUACUUCCCUUCUUAGAGACCUCUCCCAGCUUUGUAGAUAAAAUAUGUAUGAAAUUCAUAGACUCUGUUAAGAAUUCUGCUCUGGGACCAUCAUAUUUUCAAGCAUGGCUAAUAAACCUCCUCUUCCUAU
This 2720-nucleotide long non-coding RNA is filed under the name Mustela putorius furo (domestic ferret). RNAcentral describes it as "lncRNA (ENSMPUG00000029933.1)". Lineage: Eukaryota; Metazoa; Chordata; Mammalia; Carnivora; Mustelidae. The record is from RNAcentral.